Myxocyprinus asiaticus (Chinese sucker) is the source of this 617-nucleotide long non-coding RNA. RefSeq lists it as uncharacterized. The record is from RefSeq and is a predicted model, not a curated record. Lineage: Eukaryota; Metazoa; Chordata; Actinopteri; Cypriniformes; Catostomidae. The transcript has 5 exons.
AAUGAUUUCAACCCACCUCACAAUGCCCAAACUGUGUCCGAUUAUACAAGAAAGAGCAGCGUAAAAGCCCGAACACAUUAAAUGGGGAGGAGAUGGAGGAGGAGAAAAAGGAGGUCACCUCAAAACCAGACAUUGUUCAUGGAGGAUGAUUAAUUUGGGUGAAGGGGAGAGUUCUACACCCAACUCAAAAGUUUGUGUGGCAUCACUACAAUGCAAAUUUCUGUAGACCCUACAACCUGCAUAGACAUGAAUACACUCACACAGAUGAGAAGCUAUUCUGGUGCAAUCAGUGUAAUAUUGGCAUAAUCCAGAAGUAUCACCUUUUACAGCACAAAAUAACAUGCCAUGGGGCACAGUGAUGAAGCUAGCACAGAGGAAGAGCCUAAUUUCUGCUAUAAUAGAUCAAAGGAUAAAAGAGCUGAAAAGAAUUAACAUUCUUUUUUAUCAGUUAACAAAGCCAUACACAGAGAUUCCUGAAGACUUGUCAAACACUGUUAGUGAGAGCACUUGAGAAGAAGCUGCAUCCACAAAUCAAGACACAGAGGCAAGAGAGUUCCACUGGGAAGAAGCUUGUCACGACAGACUAGACACAUACCAACGUUUAAAGAAAAUAUCCC